Molecule: ribosomal RNA, 496 nt
Filed under: uncultured bacterium
Lineage: Bacteria
Description: partial 16S ribosomal RNA
Rfam family: Bacterial small subunit ribosomal RNA
Source: RNAcentral
AUUGAACGCUGGCGGAAUGCUUUACACAUGCAAGUCGAACGGUAGAGGGGGCAACCCCUCGAGAGUGGCGAACGGGUGAGUAAUAUAUCGGAACGUGCCCAGUCGUGGGGGAUAACGUAGCGAAAGUUACGCUAAUACCGCAUACGAUCUAAGGAUGAAAGCGGGGGAUCGCAAGACCUCGCGCGAUUGGAGCGGCCGAUAUCAGAUUAGGUAGUUGGCGGGGUAAAGGCUCACCAAGCCAACGAUCUGUAGCUGGUCUGAGAGGACGACCAGCCACACUGGAACUGAGACACGGUCCAGACUCCUACGGGAGGCAGCAGUGGGGAAUUUCGGACAAUGGACGCAAGUCUGAUCCAGCCAUUCCGCGUGCAGGAUGAAGGCCCUCGGGUUGUAAACUGCUUUUGUACGGAACGAAAAGGUCUCUCUUAAUACGGGGGGCUCAUGACGGUACCGUAAGAAUAAGCACCGGCUAACUACGUGCCAGCCGCCGCCGUAA